Molecule: small nuclear RNA, 100 nt
Filed under: Microtus ochrogaster (prairie vole)
Lineage: Eukaryota; Metazoa; Chordata; Mammalia; Rodentia; Cricetidae
Source: RNAcentral
GUGCUUGCUUCAGUAGCACAGAUACUAAAACUGGGUACAGAAAAGAUCAGAAUGGCCCUGUGCAAGGAUGGUAUGCUGUACUGCAAUGUUCCAUAUAUUC